This 452-nucleotide long non-coding RNA is filed under the name Cyanistes caeruleus (blue tit). RNAcentral describes it as "lncRNA (ENSCCEG00000024360.1)". The record is from RNAcentral. Lineage: Eukaryota; Metazoa; Chordata; Aves; Passeriformes; Paridae.
UUUGGCUUGGUUUUUUUUUUGUUGUUGUUGUUUGAUUUGGGGUUUUUUUUGUUUGUUUGUUUGGGUUUGAAGUUCCUAGAGGAGCACAUCUGUAGCAGCACAAGUACAGGCUCCCUCUGGUGGCUCAUUUCCAUAAAUGACAGCUUUUUUCCCCAAAAAAAUCCCCAUUCGGUGCAGUCCAACCAAUUGGAGUUGGCUGCCCCAUUCGGUGCAGUCCAACCAAUUGGAGUUGGCUGGAUGAGGUGGAACCUGUUUGAGAGCACGAGUAAGUUCCAGUAUAAUGUUUCUGAAUGCACAGAAAACCUGACCAGCCUCCAAAAACCAAGGAGGAGGGAAAGAUUUAACCUCUGUGUGAAGUAAACAGGUACUACAGUUAGGGCCAGAAAUCAGACAAAUUUCACCUCCCAGGAGAAAGCCUGGCCAGAAAUUCUGUGAGGACUUUCUGCAUCUGC